GAUGAACGCUGACAGAAUGCUUAACACAUGCAAGUCGAUGGGGAAGUGGUGCUUGCACCAUGGCAACCAUGGCGGACGGGUGAGUAACGCGUAAGGGACUUACCUGCAGGACUGGGAUAACAGGGGGAAACUCCUGACAAGACCGGAUAAUGUCAUGGAGCUGCAUGGCUUUAUGAUGAAAGGAGACGCCUGCGGAGAGCCUUGCGUCCUAUUAGCUAUUUGGUGAGGUAAUGGCUCACCAAGGCGAAGAUAGGUAGCCGGCCUGAGAGGGUGGACGGCCAAAAGGGGACUGAGAUACGGCACUUACGCCUACGGGAGGAAGCAGUGGGGAAUAUUGGACAAUGGGGGCAACCCUGAUCAAGCAAUUCUGUGUGCACGAAGAAGGUUUUCGGAUUGUAAAGUGCUUUCAGAAGGGAAGAAGUAAGUGACGGUACCUGCAGAAGAAGCGACGGCUAAAUACGUG
Molecule: ribosomal RNA, 463 nt
Filed under: uncultured bacterium
Lineage: Bacteria
Description: partial 16S ribosomal RNA
Rfam family: Bacterial small subunit ribosomal RNA
Source: RNAcentral